Molecule: ribosomal RNA, 439 nt
Filed under: uncultured Spirochaeta sp.
Lineage: Bacteria; Pseudomonadati; Spirochaetota; Spirochaetia; Spirochaetales; Spirochaetaceae
Description: bacterial SSU rRNA
Rfam family: Bacterial small subunit ribosomal RNA
Source: RNAcentral
AUGUGGUUUAAUUCGAUGAUACGCGAGAAACCUUACCAGGGCUUGACAUAUACAGGAAUGUUGUAGAGAUACAGCAGCCGCUUGCGGUCUGUAUACAGGUGCUGCAUGGCUGUCGUCAGCUCGUGCUGUGAAGUGUGGUUAAGUCCCGCAACGAGCGCAACCCUAUCAUCUGUUGCCAGCAUUUAAGGUGGGGACUCAGAUGAGACUGCCGGUGACAAACCGGAGGAAGGUGGGGACGACGUCAAGUCAUCAUGGCCCUUAUGUCCUGGGCUACACACGUGCUACAAUGGCCGGUACAGAGUGAAGCGAAACCGCGAGGUGAAACAAAACGCAGAAAGCCGGUCUCAGUACGGAUUGGAGUCUGAAACUCGACUUCAUGAAGUUGGAAUCGCUAGUAAUCGCGCAUCAGCAUGGCGCGGUGAAUACGUUCCCGGGCCUU